RNAcentral lists this ribosomal RNA (253 nucleotides) under uncultured bacterium. RNAcentral describes it as "partial 16S ribosomal RNA". It matches the Rfam family "Bacterial small subunit ribosomal RNA", at positions 524 to 776 of the family's 1533-position model. The record is from RNAcentral.
UACGGGGGGGGUAAGCGUUGUUCGGAAUUACUGGGCGUAAAGGGCUCGUAGGCGGCCAACUAAGUCGGACGUGAAAUCCCUCAGCUUAACUGGGGAACUGCGUCUGAUACUGGUUGGCUUGAGUGCAGGAGAGGAACGCGGAAUUCCAGGUGUAGCGGUGAAAUGCGUAGAUAUUGCUCGGAAGGCCAGAGCCGAAGGGGCCCUACUGGUGCGCAACUGACACUGAGGCACGAAAGCGUGGGGAGCAAACAGG